Gallus gallus (chicken) is the source of this 2696-nucleotide long non-coding RNA. RefSeq lists it as uncharacterized. The transcript has 2 exons. NCBI's taxonomy places the organism in Eukaryota, Metazoa, Chordata, Aves, Galliformes, Phasianidae. The record is from RefSeq and is a predicted model, not a curated record.
UGAACCUAAUAUGAAAAAGACACUUCUCAAAAAAUAAAAUUCUGAACAGCAGUUUGCUUACAGCAGUCAGAAAGAACCUGGACAUUUGCAGAUAUGAACUGGCUUUCGGUACCAUUUUGGAUUUACAAAAGGUAACUGUGAAGGUUACAAAGGACAUAAACCGUUCCAUGCUAACUGAAAUCUGCUUAUUUACAAAUUUUGACUUUCUUAGAGUGGUCAGAAUGUGAUAGGGAGCUAGAAAGGGACAUUUUCUCAUAGAAUCAUAGAAUGGCUUGGACCCCAAGGAUCAUCAAGUUCCAACCCCCUGCCACAAGCAAGGCUACCAACCUCUAGAUCUGGUUCUAGACCAGGCUGCCCAGGGCCCCAUCCAGCCUGGCCUUGAACACCUCCAGGGAUGGACAUGGGGCACCCACAACCUCUCUGGGCAGCCUGUUCCAGCAUCUCACCACUCUCUCUAUGAAGAACUUCCCCCUAACAUCCAAAUUUUCUUCUGUUACUUCUGUAAAGUUUAAAAAACAAUAAAUCCAAAGACUUGUAAUGCUGCUGUACUACAAGGAAUCAAACAAAAAUGUAAGCCAGGAAGUUAAAAAUAUAGAUAACUCCUUCAUUUUUAAAAUUUUUUCAAAUUUGAAAAAAUCUGUAAGCUGGGAUGGAUGGAUGGAAGGUGGAUGUCCCAUUCCUGGAGGCAUUCAAGGUCAGGCUGGACAGGGCUCUGAGCAACCUGAUCCAGCUGUAGAUGUCCCUGUUCAUUGCAGGGGAGUUGAAUUAGAUUGUCUUUAAGGGUCCUUUCCAACUCAAAUAAUUCUAUGAUUUAUUCUGUCUAUAAAAUGAUAUCUAAAUAUUAAAUUCAAUCACAGAAAAAUAUCUUUUAUUGGUACAACACUUUUUUUUGCAGAAAUUCAAUCAUUUCUUACUGUAAAUUCAAUCACUUAAUCUUACUGUAUUGUGUCAUAUCACGUAUUAUCACACACAAUCGGGAUAGAUGAGAGACAAAGAGAUAUCCAAACCAUCGGCAUGUCCAUAUAUUAAAUAUGGUUACUUUUCUUACUAUAUGCACUCAUUAAAAAAAAAAAAAGUUUCAACAGUCAUCAGGUGACUUUCAGCCCAGCCAUUAAAUAUAUACUGCUGGUUUGUAGCUGCCAGGAAAUCUGGUGUUAAGAACAGAAGAGACAAGACGUGAGAUUGGUAGGCUCUGUUUCACUCACAGUAAAUCACUCAUUUUGACACUGAGUAAGUGGUAGAGUCUAACCUUUAGAAGCACAGAGGUUCAUGCUGCAAAAAGUUCUGUGGGCUUGCUGGUGCCCAGCAUCACAAAUAAUCGGUCUUUAACAUAAAUGUUCCUUUACUCACUUGUAAAAUACAAAUAGUAACACAUACUCCACAGGACUGCUGUGAGAAAUAAUUAAUAGUUGUAUAGUACCAAGUUAUGUGGAUGAAAGCUGCUAAUGCAAGUACAAAGCAUUAUCAGCUCUGCACUGUAUUAAAUUUCUCCUAUAAAGUUUUUAAAAAGAAGAACUUAUCUAUUUUCUCCCAGUAUUUUCACUUUGCAUAUGAGCAAAGGAUCUUGCACAGCAGUUCAUUAAAGAGAGAAUUAACAACCUAUCAUAAUCUCAUACAACCAAUCUUCCCCCUGCUUCUAUCUUACUAAAAAUGUCCAUUUAAAGACAACCUUGAGGCAAGUUUUUAAAAAUAAAUUACUUCACACAGUCCAGAAGAAGGGAUGAUCGCUAGAAACAGGAUAGUUAAAUUCAUUUAAACACCUAUAAAUGAAGCUCCAAAUGAAUUCAAUGGUGCAUAGUAAAUUUAAAAGUUGCUUUAUGGACAGCAAAAUUACCAAAAUGUAGCAUUGUUAAUGAAGUUUCUGUAACUAGUGACAAGCCACUCACAGAAAGAACUCGGAACCUCUGAGGAAUACAGAGACCUUUAAAGAAACCUCAGGUACGUACACAUAUAUCUUCAAAAAUACCGUGAUUACAUACAAAUCUUUUGUCUUUAUACCUUUUCCUUUUUUCCUGAUAAUCUAGUUAGGGUUUGGUGGGUUUUAUUGCCUCUCAGGACAAAACACCUCUAGUGGUUUUAAGACAAAUAAGUACCAAGACUAUAGGCAGUAAGGCAAGAAUUCCUCCCUCUGACUUCAAACAAAUAUGCAAGCUCUAGAAAUGAAAAUAAAAUCUAUAUAGAUUAAGAUUAAAUAAGAUUCUUCAGAAAACGUGCCCACUGCUAUAGCACUGGGAUGCCACAAUAUGCGUAGGAGCUUUUCUUUCCCCCCUGGGAAAUUAGUAUUUAUUAAUUCUUUCAGGAUACAAAAUUACUUGAAAUGAUGAACUGAUGAAUUUUGCACUAUCCUUCAUUAACAUUUUCAAAUGUUUUUGCCCUCCUUCAUCUACUUUUAUUUGCAGCCUUCUGAGCCACACAGAAGGUCAUGAAUAUUGGCUCUAUGCAACUUCAGAAACUAAUUACUCUCCUGUUGCAGUGGAUCUAACCAAGAGAGCCAUAAACCACAGAGGUUCUUAGAGAUGGGCUUGAAACAACUUGGACACAGAAUAAUUCACUCCUGACAAAUCUCCAGAGUGUUUGGAUUCCCAGGGCAAAAAUGAACACGGCAAAUCAAUGAUGGGAUCCACCUGUUGUUGUAACAGUCCAUUUACUGCUGUAACAUGAGAAGCCAGGUUUAUAGAAUAAAAGAGAGUAACUCA